Molecule: small nuclear RNA, 19 nt
Filed under: Arabidopsis thaliana (thale cress)
Lineage: Eukaryota; Viridiplantae; Streptophyta; Magnoliopsida; Brassicales; Brassicaceae
Description: snRNA_13398
Source: RNAcentral
UAGAGAUGGAUAAGUAUCG